AUACGUAGGGGGCGAGCGUUGUCCGGAAUGAUUGGGCGUAAAGGGCGCGUAGGCGGCCCGGUAAGUCUGGAGUGAAAGUCCUGUUUUUAAGAUGGGAAUUGCUUUGGAUACUGUCGGGCUUGAGUGCAGGAGAGGUAAGUGGAAUUCCCAGUGUAGCGGUGAAAUGCGUAGAGAUUGGGAGGAACACCAGUGGCGAAGGCGACUUACUGGACUGUAACUGACGCUGAGGCGCGAAAGUGUGGAGCAAACAGGAUUAGAUACCCUGGUAGUCCACACUGUAAACGAUGAAUGCUAGGUGUAGGGGGUAUCGACCCCUUCUGUGCCGCAGUCAACACAAUAAGCAUUCCGCCUGGGGAGUACGGCCGCAAGGUUGAAACUCAAAUGAAUUGACGGGG
Molecule: ribosomal RNA, 395 nt
Filed under: uncultured bacterium
Lineage: Bacteria
Description: partial 16S ribosomal RNA
Rfam family: Bacterial small subunit ribosomal RNA
Source: RNAcentral